Molecule: ribosomal RNA, 426 nt
Filed under: uncultured Verrucomicrobiota bacterium
Lineage: Bacteria; Pseudomonadati; Verrucomicrobiota
Description: bacterial SSU rRNA
Rfam family: Bacterial small subunit ribosomal RNA
Source: RNAcentral
AGUCGAGAAUUUUUCUCAAUGGGCGAAAGCCUGAAGGAGCGACGCCGCGUGGGGGAUGAAUGGCUUCGGCCCGUAAACCCCUGUCAUUUGUGAACAAAUUGUUUCACCCAACACGUGAAGCAUUGCUUGUAACGAAAGAGGAAGGGACGGCUAACUCUGUGCCAGCAGCCGCGGUAAUACAGAGGUCCCAAGCGUUGUUCGGAUUCACUGGGCGUAAAGGGUGCGUAGGCGGUCGGGUAAGUCUAGCGUGAAAUCUCCAAGCUCAACUUGGAAACUGCGUUGGAUACUAUCCGGCUCGAGGAAUGGAGGGGAGACUGGAAUACUUGGUGUAGCAGUGAAAUGCGUAGAUAUCAAGUGGAACACCAGUGGCGAAGGCGAGUCUCUGGACAUUUCCUGACGCUGAGGCACGAAAGCCAGGGGAGCAAA